GGAAGCAGGUGGAAACCCAUUGUGUGUGUUGUCCUUGUGGAGCUCUUUAAAACAGGAAAUAUACUGCUAGGCAAGGUAGUAGUUGAUGGUGGCAUGUUUGUGUUCUCAUUAUUGUGCUAUAGAAGCAUUCUAGGUGCCGUUUUCAUGUUGCCAUUUUCCCUACUCCUCGAAAGUGGGAAGUGGAAAGAAUUGGAUAAGCAUGCUCUUGGCUGGCUCUUCAUCAAUGCUUUUGUCGGAUACUCAUUGCCUAUGGCCUUGUACUACAAUGGGCUACAUGACACAACCGCCUCCUAUGGCGUGAUCUCCUCAAGUUUGACUCCGCUCUUCACUUUUGUCCUGUCAAUAUUGCUUGGCAUGGAGAACUUGCACCUCAAAUCCAAGGAGGGUAGUGCGAAGGUUGGUGCAUUGGUAUGCUUUGGUGGGGCUUUGUUGAUUAGCUUGUACAAUGGAAAGGAACUGCAUCUCUGGUCCCCGGUUAUGCAAGGUAUCACUAAGAGUUCCAAUGCAGUUGUCGGAGGACACCACCAUUUGAGGGGUACCUUGCUUUUGUUGGGUGAAUGCAUAUGUUAUGCAUUUUCAUACCCUGUACUGGUAAAAGUUUUAAAGGUUUACCCAUGGAAACAUUGGUCAUCAGUGUUGACAUGUGUUCUAGGUGGUUUCCAAACAUGUGCCAUAGGAAUAAUUUUGAGAAGGGACAAACUGGCUUGGCAAGUGGGAUGGAACAUUCAACUAUUAACAAUUGUCUACUCGGCUGCACUUGGCACAUCAGCCAAGUAUUGGUUAAACCUCUAUGCCGUGGAAAAGCGAGGCCCCGUUUUCCCACCAAUGUUCAACACAUUAUCGGUUGUCUUCACCAUGGUUCUUGGAGCAUUAUUACUAGGAGAAAGCCUCACGGUUGGGAGCUUGCUGGGUAGUGCAGUGGUUUUCAGUGGUCUGUAUAUGUAUCUCUAUGGAAAGGCCAAAGAACUACGCGUGACGAUGACAUCAGGUUCAAGCAAUGAAAAGCUUCAGGUGCAACCUACCCAUAACUCAAAGUGUGAGGAUCCAUCAUCUCGCCCUUAA
This 1062-nucleotide ribosomal RNA is filed under the name Triticum aestivum (bread wheat). Its description in RNAcentral is "partial small subunit ribosomal RNA". The record is from RNAcentral. Lineage: Eukaryota; Viridiplantae; Streptophyta; Magnoliopsida; Poales; Poaceae.